RNAcentral lists this small nuclear RNA (21 nucleotides) under Arabidopsis thaliana (thale cress). Its description in RNAcentral is "snRNA_15522". The record is from RNAcentral. Lineage: Eukaryota; Viridiplantae; Streptophyta; Magnoliopsida; Brassicales; Brassicaceae.
UUUGUUGAGCCGUCACACGGA